GGUUAAGCGACUAAGCGUACACGGUGGAUGCCCUGGCAGUCAGAGGCGAUGAAGGACGUGCUAAUCUGCGAAAAGCGUCGGUAAGGUGAUAUGAACCGUUAUAGCCGGCGAUGUCCGAAUGGGGAAACCCAGUGUGAUUCGUCACACUAUCGUUAACUGAAUACAUAGGUUAACGAGGCGAACCGGGGGAACUGAAACAUCUAAGUACCCCGAGGAAAAGAAAUCAACCGAGAUUCCCCCAGUAGCGGCGAGCGAACGGGGAGCAGCCCAGAGUCUGAAUCAGCUUGUGUGUUAGUGGAACGGUCUGGAAAGUCCGACGGUACAGGGUGAUAGUCCCGUACACCAAAAUGCACAGGUUGUGAACUCGAAGAGUAGGGCGGGACACGUGGUAUCCUGUCUGAAUAUGGGGGGACCAUCCUCCAAGGCUAAAUACUCCUGACUGACCGAUAGUGAACCAGUACCGUGAGGGAAAGGCGAAAAGAACCCCGGCGAGGGGAGUGAAAAAGAACCUGAAACCGUGUACGUACAAGCAGUGGGAGCACCUUCGGGUGUGACUGCGUACCUUUUGUAUAAUGGGUCAGCGACUUAUAUUCUGUAGCAAGGUUAACCGUAUAGGGGAGCCGCAGGGAAACCGAGUCUUAACUGGGCGUUAAGUUGCAGGGUAUAGACCCGAAACCCGGUGAUCUAGCCAUGGGCAGGUUGAAGGUUGGGUAACACUAACUGGAGGACCGAACCGACUAAUGUUGAAAAAUUAGCGGAUGACUUGUGGCUGGGGGUGAAAGGCCAAUCAAACCGGGAGAUAGCUGGUUCUCCCCGAAAGCUAUUUAGGUAGCGCCUCGUGAA
This 843-nucleotide ribosomal RNA is filed under the name Klebsiella aerogenes. RNAcentral's name for it is "partial 23S ribosomal RNA". It matches the Rfam family "Bacterial large subunit ribosomal RNA", at positions 1 to 888 of the family's 2925-position model. Lineage: Bacteria; Pseudomonadati; Pseudomonadota; Gammaproteobacteria; Enterobacterales; Enterobacteriaceae. RNAcentral also lists the same sequence under 4 other names. The record is from RNAcentral.